GACAGGGUGGUGUCGUGGUCUGAGUGCUGGACUAGGACUCUGGAGACCAGGGUUCAAAUCCCCACUCAGCCA
RNAcentral lists this transfer RNA (72 nucleotides) under Phrynosoma platyrhinos (Desert horned lizard). RNAcentral's name for it is "tRNA-OTHER". The record is from RNAcentral. Lineage: Eukaryota; Metazoa; Chordata; Lepidosauria; Squamata; Phrynosomatidae.